UCUUCUUUAUCAGAAAAAAAAUUCUAUAUAAAUCUACAAAAGAUGAAAUAUGAAAUAACACAAAAAUAUACUACAUCACUUCCUCGUGAGUGAAGUAGAUUCGUAUCAAAACACCACUUCUCUUUACAUUUUUUCCUCUUCCAUAUAAUACUAAACCAAAACAAAACCAAAAAAAUAUAUUAAUAUAAACUCAACUCAUUUUCUAUUGGUCAAAACACAUGUGUAUGGAUUACUAUCUUGACCAUUGAUAUUUCUAAUCCAAGGGUCCUAAAUGAAUCUUUUGUGUUUCUUUCUUCUGUCGAGUCUCUCUCUCUCUCUCUCUCUCAAUUCUCUCUGUAUCUCACCAUCUUCAAUCUCAGUUUCUCUCUGUACACAAUCAACAAUAAUCAUCGCCUCUGAUUUUGGUGUUAACAGAUCCGACGCAUCUAAACUCAUGUCGUCAUUCAACAAAACUGCUUCAACUUCAAACCCAUCUCCAAACUCCAUUCCUUAAAACUGGGUUUCAUGGACGCUUCCUCUCUUCCCCUUCUCCGUGACCUAUUCCCCUUCUCUGGGACGAAGUACUUUCUCCUCUUCCUGUCGACGAAUUCCAGAUGGAGCAAACUCCUAAAGCUCACACGAGAGAGACAGACUUGGAGAUGGAGCAAGAAACGAGACGCAUGAAGAAGCUGUAGAGGCAGAUGACCAGAUCUGGCGGAGAGCAGGACGAUGGAGGACGUGGCUAACGGCAUGACUGAAGCGUUGAGGAUGGAGGAGUUUGUGAUAGAGGCGGCUGGAGUAAGCAAACAGAGGAAUUAGGGUUUUCUUAGGUUUAUUUUUUUCUGUUUAUUUUUUUGUACAUUUAUUCCAAAUCUGAAUUAUUUUUCUAUGUAAAACUUUUUUAUUGUAUGAAUCAUUGAUAAUUAAAUUUUAAUUUAUAAA
Raphanus sativus (radish) is the source of this 921-nucleotide long non-coding RNA. RefSeq lists it as uncharacterized. The record is from RefSeq and is a predicted model, not a curated record. The transcript is spliced from 2 exons. Lineage: Eukaryota; Viridiplantae; Streptophyta; Magnoliopsida; Brassicales; Brassicaceae.